RNAcentral lists this ribosomal RNA (406 nucleotides) under uncultured bacterium. Its description in RNAcentral is "partial 16S ribosomal RNA". It matches the Rfam family "Bacterial small subunit ribosomal RNA", at positions 30 to 526 of the family's 1533-position model. The record is from RNAcentral.
AUUGAACGCUGGCGGCAGGCCUAACACAUGCAAGUCGAGCGAGCGGCGGACGGGAGAGUUAUGUAUGGGGCUCUGCCCGAUAGAGGGGGGUAACUACUGGAAACUGUUGCUAAUUCCGCAUUCUAUCGGCUGAACCCAUAUGGGAUUAGCUAGUGGGUGGGGUAAAGGCUGACCUCGGCGACGACCUGUAGCUGGUCUGAGAGGAUGAUCAGCCACACUGGAACUGAGACACGGCCCAGACUCCUACGGGAGGCAGCAGUGGGGAAUAUUGCACAAUGGGAGAAAGCCUGAUGCAGCCAUGCCGCGUGUAUGAAGAAGGCCUUAGGGUUGUAAAGUACUUUCAGCGGGGAGGCGUUACCCGCAGAAGAAGCACCGGCUAACUCCGUGCCAGCAGCCGCGGUAAUAC